This 511-nucleotide ribosomal RNA is filed under the name Gabunia ruficoxis. RNAcentral describes it as "partial 16S large subunit ribosomal RNA". The stretch from base 385 to 511 matches the Rfam family "Archaeal large subunit ribosomal RNA", at positions 2544 to 2670 of the family's 2987-position model. The record is from RNAcentral. Lineage: Eukaryota; Metazoa; Arthropoda; Insecta; Hymenoptera; Ichneumonidae.
CAUGUCUUCUUGAAAAUAAUUUUAAGUYUGACCUGCUCMAUGAAGUUUUAAAUGGCUGCAGUAUUUUGACUGUACAAAGGUAGCAUAAUCAAUAGUUUUUUAAUUAAAAGCUGGAAUGAAAGGUUUGAUAAAGUAAAUAUUGUCUCGAAUUUAAUUAAGUAGAAUUUUUUUUUUAGUAAAAAUACUAAAUUGGUUUUAAAAGACGAGAAGACCCUAUAGAUUUUUAUAUUAUAAUUUUAAUUAAUAAAAAUUUAAUAUAUUGUUAAUAGUAAUAAUAUUUGGUUGGGGAAAUUAUUAAAUUUAAUAAAUUUUAAUUGUUAAAAAACAAUAAUUAUUGAUUAUUAGAUCUUUAUAUUUAAGAUUAAGAGAUUAAAUUACCUUAGGGAUAACAGCAUAAUUUUUUUUGAGAGAUCUAAUUGAAAAAGAAGUUUGUGACCUCGAUGUUGAAUUAAGAUAAAAUUUUAAUGCAGUAGUUAAAAAUUUUUAGUCUGUUCGACUAUUAAAAUCUUAC